AUUGAACGCUGGCGGCAUGCCUAACACAUGCAAGUCGAACGGGGUAGCAAUACCCAGUGGCGGACGGGUGAGGAAUACAUAGGAAUUUGCCUUUAGGUGGGGGAUAGCCCGGGGAAACUCGGAGUAAUACCGCAUGAUGUCGAAAGACCAAAGUAGGGGAUCGCAAGACCUUGCGCCUUUAGAGAAGCCUAUGUCUGAUUAGCUAGUUGGUAGGGUAAUGGCCUACCAAGGCGACGANCAGUAACUGGUCUGAGAGGACGAUCAGUCACACCGGAACUGAGACACGGUCCGGACUCCUACGGGAGGCAGCAGUGGGGAAUAUUGGACAAUGGGCGAAAGCCUGAUCCAGCAAUGCCGCGUGUGUGAAGAAGGCCGUU
Molecule: ribosomal RNA, 377 nt
Filed under: uncultured bacterium
Lineage: Bacteria
Description: bacterial SSU rRNA
Rfam family: Bacterial small subunit ribosomal RNA
Source: RNAcentral